RNAcentral lists this ribosomal RNA (256 nucleotides) under uncultured bacterium. Its description in RNAcentral is "partial 16S ribosomal RNA". It matches the Rfam family "Bacterial small subunit ribosomal RNA", at positions 524 to 777 of the family's 1533-position model. The record is from RNAcentral.
UACGGGGGGGGGCAAGCGUUGUUCGGAAUUACUGGGCGUAAAGGGCUCGUAGGCGGCCAACUAAGUCAGACGUGAAAUCCCUCGGCUUAACCGGGGAACUGCAUCUGAUACUGGAUGGCUUGAGUUCGGGAGAGGGAUGCGGAAUUCCAGGUGUAGCGGUGAAAUGCGUAGAUAUCUGGAGGAACACCGGUGGCGAAGGCGGCAUCCUGGACCGGCACUGACGCUGAGGAGCGAAAGCCAGGGGGAGCAAAGCGGG